UAUCUGAUGCGUCAGUGACUAGGGCCAGC
RNAcentral lists this non-coding RNA (29 nucleotides) under Bombyx mori (domestic silkworm). The record is from RNAcentral. Lineage: Eukaryota; Metazoa; Arthropoda; Insecta; Lepidoptera; Bombycidae.